This 73-nucleotide transfer RNA is filed under the name Hydrogenobaculum sp. Y04AAS1. RNAcentral describes it as "tRNA-Thr (TGT) (tRNA-Thr-TGT-1-1)". It matches the Rfam family "tRNA". Rfam says of the family: Transfer RNA (tRNA) molecules are approximately 80 nucleotides in length. Their secondary structure includes four short double-helical elements and three loops (D, anti-codon, and T loops). RNAcentral also lists the same sequence under 5 other names. Lineage: Bacteria; Pseudomonadati; Aquificota; Aquificia; Aquificales; Aquificaceae. The record is from RNAcentral.
GCUAGCGUAGCUCAGUCGGCAGAGCACGUGAUUUGUAAUCACGAGGUCGUGGGUUCGACCCCCACCGCUAGCU